This 73-nucleotide transfer RNA is filed under the name Danio rerio (zebrafish). It matches the Rfam family "tRNA". From Rfam's summary of the family: Transfer RNA (tRNA) molecules are approximately 80 nucleotides in length. Their secondary structure includes four short double-helical elements and three loops (D, anti-codon, and T loops). Lineage: Eukaryota; Metazoa; Chordata; Actinopteri; Cypriniformes; Danionidae. The record is from Rfam by way of RNAcentral.
GACGCAGUGGCGCAGUAGGUAGCGCUGUUGCCUGACAGCAAGAAAGUCGCUGGUUCGAGCCUGUGCUGGGUCA